Molecule: ribosomal RNA, 503 nt
Filed under: uncultured bacterium
Lineage: Bacteria
Description: partial 16S ribosomal RNA
Rfam family: Bacterial small subunit ribosomal RNA
Source: RNAcentral
AUUGAACGCUGGCGGCAGGCUUAACACAUGCAAGUCGAGCGGGGUGAUGGUGCUUGCACUAUCACUUAGCGGCGGACGGGUGAGUAAUGCUUAGGAAUCUGCCUAUUAGUGGGGGACAACAUCUCGAAAGGGACGCUAAUACCGCAUACGUCCUACGGGAGAAAGCAGGGGAUCACUUGUGACCUUGUGCUAAUAGAUGAGCCUAAGUCGGAUUAGCUAGUUGGUGGGGUAAAGGCCUACCAAGGCGACGAUCUGUAGCGGGUCUGAGAGGAGGAUCCGCCACACUGGGACUGAGACACGGCCCAGACUCCUACGGGAGGCAGGAGUGGAGAAUAUUGGACAAUGGGGGGAACCCUGAUCCAUCCAUGCCUCGUGUGUGAAGCAGGCCUUAUGGGUGUAAGGCACUUUAAGCGAGGAGGAGGCUUACCUAGUUAAUACCUGGGAUAAGUGGACGUUACUCGCAGAAUAAGCACCGGCUAACUCUGUGCCAGCAGCCGCCGCGG